This 254-nucleotide ribosomal RNA is filed under the name uncultured bacterium. Its description in RNAcentral is "partial 16S ribosomal RNA". It matches the Rfam family "Bacterial small subunit ribosomal RNA", at positions 524 to 776 of the family's 1533-position model. The record is from RNAcentral.
UACGGGGGGAGCAAGCGUUGUUCGGAUUUACUGGGCGUAAAGGGCGCGUAGGCGGUCGUGACAAGUCACUUGUGAAAUCUCCGGGCUUAACUCGGAACGGUCAAGUGAUACUGUCGGACUAGAGUACAGAAGGGGCAACUGGAAUUCUCGGUGUAGCGGUGAAAUGCGUAGAUAUCGAGAGGAGCACCUGCGGCGAAGGCGGGUAGCUGGGCCGACACUGACGCUGAGGCGCGAAAGCCAGGGGAGCGAACGGG